Molecule: ribosomal RNA, 421 nt
Filed under: uncultured bacterium
Lineage: Bacteria
Description: bacterial SSU rRNA
Rfam family: Bacterial small subunit ribosomal RNA
Source: RNAcentral
UAAGGAAUAUUGGUCAGUGGACGCAAGUCUGAACCAGCCAUGCCGCGUGAAGGAUGAAGGUCCUCUGGAUUGUAAACUUCUUUUAUCUGGGACGAAAACGGGAUUUUUAUCUCAAUUGACGGUACCAGAGGAAUAAGCACCGGCUAACUCCGUGCCAGCAGCCGCGGUAAUACGGAGGGUGCGAGCGUUAUCCGGAUUUACUGGGUUUAAAGGGUGCGUAGGUGGGCUUAUAAGUCAGUGGUGAAAUCUCCGAGCUUAACUUGGAAACUGCCGUUGAUACUAUAGGUCUUGAAUUAUCUGGAGGUAAGCGGAAUAUGUCAUGUAGCGGUGAAAUGCUUAGAUAUGACAUUGAACACCAAUUGCGAAGGCAGCUUACUACAUAUAAAUUGACGCUGAGGCACGAAAGCGUGGGGAUCAAACA